CUCUCAAGUGUAAGAGAAGUGUGAAAAAGGGGCCAGAGGUGGUUGGUUUUUGCUAGGUUUGAGAUGGUCGAGUAUUAUUGUUAGGAUGAGCUUGAGAAUUAUGCAUGGUAGAAGAGUAAUCGAGUGUCUAGAAAGGUGACAAAUUUCCGGGUGCCUUGUGAAACCAUACGAAGAUUCAUCUGGGAAAACGGAUAUGUAUCAGUGUUGAAAAUUCUUUGGACAACCAGGGAGGUCUUCAAAUGUGGUAUAUCUUUCACAAUUGGGAACGGUCAAAUGGUUAAUUUUUGGACUGAUAUCUGGUGCGAUCGAGCUCCACUGCGAACUUUAUAUCCGUGUAUCUUUGAUAAGAUCACUUCCAAAAACUCCAGAGUGAAGGAGUGUUGGGGGAGAGGGUGGAAGUGGCAUAAGAUUUUGUCAGGAUUCACCCCUUCGACCCCGACAGACAGCGACCAACUAUCAAACUUCAAGGAGUUGCUUGUCACGAUUUCUCCAAGUAAUUCACAGGACGAAAUAAGAUGGAGGUGGACACAUUCCGAAACGUUCUCGGUCAACUCGGUAUAUAAAUUCCUUAUGGACGGUGGAGUCAAAGUUGACAGUUCCGUACGUCUUUGGAAGAUUAGAUUCCCUCUUAAAGUCAAGAUCUUCAUUUGGCUUGUGCUGAAAAACAAGGUGCUUACUAGGGAUAACCUUCUCAUAAGGGGUUGGAAUGGAGAUGAAAAUUGUGUUUUAUGUCUAGAAGAGAAGGAGACUGCGGGUCAUCUCUUCUCUGGCUGCGCCUACACCACAGCUUUACUGAAAGGUUUGCUACCUAAUAAACUAAUCUUUAACAAUCGCCCUUCCGCGAAGGAGAUUUGGGAAAAAAGUAGUGCCAAAAAGGACGCACAGGGGAUAUAGAAAUAUUGACCAUCGUUGCAACGUGGUGGGUAUUAUGGUUGGAGCGCAACAAAAGAAUUUUUCAGCAAUCAAGACGGGUGCUAGGGAGUCUGUUUUUGGAGAUCAGAGUACUUAGAGACUCGUGGAAUCGUUCAUGUAGUUGAUAUGUGAUGCUUUUGUUUUUCUUUUUGGUUUUCUUCUCUUUUCUUCUUUUCUUUUCUCUUUUGUCUUUCUUCUGUUUUUCUCUUGUACCUUGAGUUUGUCUUUUUUCUUUUCCUCUUUCUUUCCUCUCGAGGCCCUGGAUGCCUCAAUCUGUAGCUAAGUUCACUCCCUAGUUGAAUGAAGCGGUAGCAUGCUAUCUUUUCUCAAAAAAAAAAAAAAAA
This is a long non-coding RNA of Ananas comosus (pineapple), 1256 nucleotides long. RefSeq lists it as uncharacterized. The transcript has 2 exons. Lineage: Eukaryota; Viridiplantae; Streptophyta; Magnoliopsida; Poales; Bromeliaceae. The record is from RefSeq and is a predicted model, not a curated record.